GGACUCAUAGUGUAGCCUGGUUUAACACGCCUCCCUGUCACGGAGGAGAUCAGGGGUUCAAAUCCCCUUGAGUCCG
RNAcentral lists this transfer RNA (76 nucleotides) under Candidatus Nealsoniibacteriota bacterium. Its description in RNAcentral is "Candidatus Nealsonbacteria bacterium tRNA-Asp". It matches the Rfam family "tRNA". From Rfam's summary of the family: Transfer RNA (tRNA) molecules are approximately 80 nucleotides in length. Their secondary structure includes four short double-helical elements and three loops (D, anti-codon, and T loops). Further hydrogen bonds mediate the characteristic L-shaped molecular structure. tRNAs have two regions of fundamental functional importance: the anti-codon, which is responsible for specific mRNA codon recognition, and the 3' end, to which the tRNAs corresponding amino acid is attached (by aminoacyl-tRNA synthetases). tRNAs cope with the degeneracy of the genetic code in two manners: having more than one tRNA (with a specific anti-codon) for a particular amino acid; and 'wobble' base-pairing, i.e. permitting non-standard base-pairing at the 3rd anti-codon position. The record is from RNAcentral. Lineage: Bacteria; Candidatus Nealsoniibacteriota.